AAAGGCCCGUGCUGCCCAGCAGGUUUGUCCUAUUCCCAGACACAGCACUGUACAUCUGUGGAAAAUGCUGACCGAUGAUGUACAAAAUAAUUGAGUUUUUCAUCUUCCAAGUUAGCACUUUUUCUUCCCUUGGAGGGCUCUCAGUUCUAUUCCCGGACACCGUUCUGCUCUGUUAUACUCACCCCUUUUCUGUAUGGAAGCACUAAUUGCCACACAGAGCUAGAGAUGCACCUUGUCUGAUGGCUUAAGGCAGGCAGCAGGCACUCGUUAGAUGCCACGUAAGCUCUUUCAGAUCCAGUGGCUGAUGUCAGACACUUGAGAGGAAGGUGCCAGAAAACAAGCAGUAGAAAACUGUCAGACGGUUUUGGGGCUGCUGUGAGCUGGUUAUGUUACAAAGGAUAAGACUUUUUUUCUCAUAAUUGCUGUUCAUUCUUUUAAUAUUUCCUGUACACCUAUUCUUAUGAUGGUUAAAUGUAAAUACCAUUCUAAAUAAAUGCUUUCUGUCAAUGACAAGCAAGUGUGUUGCUGCUUUCAAAGUAGGCUAGCUAAUUUUUGAACAGAGAACAUCUCGUUCCAGCUACCUUGCAGAUAAAAUAACCAGCAACGAAAAAGAUAUUCCAGCUUUUGCAAUUUGAAGAAGUCCUCUCCAUUCUCUGAUGAGUACCUGCAAAGGGAUAAUAGGUGAUGUGAGUGUUUGUAGCCCUGUCUGCCUAGGUGCAAAGUAGAAUCCAGUCUGCUUUUCCCUUAAUGGUACAACUCC
Molecule: long non-coding RNA, 760 nt
Filed under: Gallus gallus (chicken)
Lineage: Eukaryota; Metazoa; Chordata; Aves; Galliformes; Phasianidae
Source: RNAcentral